AUGAAUUCCCUAAUUUGGAACUGCCAGGGGGCGGGGAACCGCCGGACAGUUCGUGAGGUGUUGGCCCUCUCGAAAACCAACAUCCCCAAGCUUGUGUUUCUUUGUGAAACAAGGCAAGCAGCUGAUAAGAUGGAAAAAUUGAGAUGGAGAUUAGGUUUGAAAGGAUUUUGUGGUGUGAAUAGCUCGGGAUUGAGUGGUGGUCUUGCGCUCUACUGGGACGAA
Molecule: ribosomal RNA, 222 nt
Filed under: Triticum aestivum (bread wheat)
Lineage: Eukaryota; Viridiplantae; Streptophyta; Magnoliopsida; Poales; Poaceae
Description: partial small subunit ribosomal RNA
Source: RNAcentral